UAAUACGGAAGGGGCAAGCGUUGUUCGGAAUCAUUGGGCGUAAAGGGCGCGUAGGCGGUCGCGUGUGUCUGCUGUGAAAGCGCACGGCUCAACCGUGUGAAGUCGGUAGAAACUGCGGGACUUGAGGCUGGGAGAGGUUGGUGGAAUUCCCUGUGUAGCGGUGAAAUGCGUAGAUAUAGGGGAGAACACUCGUGGCGAAGGCGGCCAGCUGGACCAGCCCUGACGCUGAGGCGCGACAGCGUGGGGAGCAAACAGGAUUAGAUACCCUGGUAGUCCACGCCGUAAACGAUGGGCACUAGGUGUUGGCGGUACUGAUUCCGUCGGCGCCGGCGUUAACGCAGUAAGUGCCCCGCCUGGGGAGUACGGUCGCAAGGCUG
RNAcentral lists this ribosomal RNA (377 nucleotides) under uncultured bacterium. Its description in RNAcentral is "bacterial SSU rRNA". It matches the Rfam family "Bacterial small subunit ribosomal RNA", at positions 521 to 896 of the family's 1533-position model. The record is from RNAcentral.